AAGUCAUAACAAGGUUUCCGUAGGUGAACCUGCGGAAGGAUCAUUAUUGAAUUCGGCCUUUUGGCCUUAUACACAUAAUAUACACUGUGAACCGUGGCUUCGGCCCAAACUUGAAGUCUUGAAUGUAAUAUAUCAUAACAAAAUACAACUUUUAACAACGGAUCUCUUGGCUCUC
This 175-nucleotide unclassified non-coding RNA is filed under the name Vishniacozyma dimennae. Its description in RNAcentral is "partial internal transcribed spacer region". The stretch from base 1 to 46 matches the Rfam family "Eukaryotic small subunit ribosomal RNA", at positions 1786 to 1831 of the family's 1831-position model. Lineage: Eukaryota; Fungi; Basidiomycota; Tremellomycetes; Tremellales; Bulleribasidiaceae. The record is from RNAcentral. RNAcentral also lists the same sequence under 1 other name.